UGUAAGCGUAUACCAAAGUUGUUGCAGUUAAAACGCUCGUAGUCGGAAUUUGGCAGUUCCGGAUGUGUGCACGUCGUGUGCGCACUUCGCGGGGAUUGCUUUUGUGGUCUUGCGUAGGAUGAGGCACUUUUAUUAGUGAACGUCCUCACGCAACCACUUUUUACUGUGAGAAAAUCAGAGUGCUCAAAGCAGGCAGUUGCCGUGAAUGUAUUAGCAUGGAAUAAUAGAAUAGGACUUGGUUCUAUUUUGUUGGUUUGUUGGGACUGAGUAAUGAUUAAGAGGGACAGUUGGGGGCAUUUGUAUUUCGGUGCUAGAGGUGAAAUUCUUAGAUUACCGAAAGACAAACUGCUGCGAAAGCGUCUGCCAAGGAUGUUUUCAUUGA
Molecule: ribosomal RNA, 382 nt
Filed under: uncultured eukaryote
Lineage: Eukaryota
Description: partial 18S ribosomal RNA
Rfam family: Eukaryotic small subunit ribosomal RNA
Source: RNAcentral